AAUAUUUAUUGAGUCUUCUUUUUUUUCGGUUACAAUAUGUUGUACUUAUCGAUAACAACGGUGAUAAUCAAAAAACGCAAAAUUAUAAUAGUUUUGUUUUGCUGCACACUGACGUUCGUUAAUGCUACAUGCAAAGUGAAUAAACAGAAAUUUACAAAAUGUAAACAAAUGGGAAGAGAUUUUUAGACUUGCUCGCGGUCUAUAUUUUAGCGUGCAGAGUAAAUAUCUGCAUAACUACUUAAACACUAGUUAACACUUAUAUACUAAAAUAAAUAAAUAUGUUUGAACAGUGUGACAAUUUUAGGUACUACGUGACUUAAGUCUAAAAUGUAUAUAAGAAUAUCACAGAAUCGUUUUUUGCAUUCAUUUAUCCCCUAUGUGUUUCGGGACUCGCCUUGGUAAAAAAAUCAGGUAGAUGGUACUGGCCAGAACUGUUGUCAAGAUUUUCAUUUAGAACUCCUACUGGUGAAAGGUUUUCCACAAAUCUCCUUUGGAGGUUGAGAGCAUACGUGCAGAAUGGCAGAAUGUUUGCGCAGGUGUAAAUGUGCUGAUUUGAGAAGCGCUUAGAGGGAUUCUGGAAGUUUUUUCCAACACAUUUUCUAAGGAUUUUUCGUUCAAACAUUUCAAUUUCAUUUGCCACUGUCGGGGAAAUUGAAAACCACAUUGGGAAACCAUAAUUCAUAAUUGGGCGAAUGGCGACUUUAUAUAGGAGCAACUUAGUACUCUGUGGCAGAUAAGUAUUGCACAUGAUGUAUGAUAAACGACCAGCUGUCAUUUUGGCUUUUUUUAGGGCGGCUCUGGCGUGAUCAUUAAAUUUAAAAAGGUUAUUUAUGUUUAUUCCCAAAUAUUUUAAGGUAUUCCUAAAAGGGAUUUCUGUUCCAUCAAGCGAGAGAUUCAAUAGUUUGGAUUCAGGCACUACUGUUCUAUGGCAUUUUCCUGAAGCGUUUCUAAUGCAAAUUGCCUCCGACUUCGCAGCAUUUAUGGAAAUUCCCCAUGUCGUGUAAUAUGCUUUUAUAAUUUGAAGAUGGUACGCUGCAUUAUUGAGAGCAGUAAUUGAAUUUUCGGAAACAUGAGGAAAAUCAUGAAGGAACAAGUUGAACAGUUGGGGUGACAGAACGCUGCCCUGGGGGACACCACUUUCUAUUGCGCCAAAAUUGGACAUAUAAUCAUUGAUAAUAACAGUAAAUUUUCUGUUGUUUAAAAAGCUUGAAAACAUCUUGACCAGAAACGGAUCCACGUUCAGUUUAAUUAAUUUAUAAAUAAUUCCUUUGUGGUAUACAGAAUCAAAUGCCUUCUGGAUAUCUAGAGAGAUUGCCACUGUACAUAUUUUCUCUCUUAGGUGACUCGUUAUAUCAUUGUGAAAUUUAAGUAAGGCGUGAUUUGUAGAGUGAGCUGGUUUAAAUCCAAACUGAAAUGGGGAAAUAGGGUUAAUAAUAAAUUCGUUUUCUAACUUUUCGUGUAACACGCGCUCGAAGAUUUUUCCAAUGUUUGAAAGUAAGGAAAUAGGACGAAAUUCGCCAGGAUUUAUGCUGCUAGGCCUUUUCUUUAUUGGUAUAAUCUUCGCCGACUUCCACGGUUCUGGAAA
Musca domestica (house fly) is the source of this 1585-nucleotide long non-coding RNA. RefSeq lists it as uncharacterized. The transcript is spliced from 4 exons. NCBI's taxonomy places the organism in Eukaryota, Metazoa, Arthropoda, Insecta, Diptera, Muscidae. The record is from RefSeq and is a predicted model, not a curated record.